Molecule: ribosomal RNA, 262 nt
Filed under: uncultured bacterium
Lineage: Bacteria
Description: partial 16S ribosomal RNA
Source: RNAcentral
CUGCUGCCUUCCGUAGGAGUUUGGGCCGUGUCUCAGUCCCAAUGUGGCCGUUCACCCUCUCAGGCCGGCUACUGAUCGUCGCCUUGGUAGGCCGUUACCCCACCAACCAGCUAAUCAGACGCGGGCUCAUCUUAUACUACCGGAGUUUUUCACACAGAAACAUGCGUCCCCGUGCGCUUAUGCGGUAUUAGCAGUCAUUUCUAACUGUUAUCCCCCUGUAUAAGGCAGAUUACCCACGUGUUACUCACCCGUCCGCCGCUAA